Long non-coding RNA from Ctenopharyngodon idella (grass carp), 7310 nucleotides. RefSeq lists it as uncharacterized. The transcript has 2 exons. The record is from RefSeq and is a predicted model, not a curated record. NCBI's taxonomy places the organism in Eukaryota, Metazoa, Chordata, Actinopteri, Cypriniformes, Xenocyprididae.
GUAGUUAAUUAUUAUUACUCAGUACUUAAAUGUAUAAUUACACUGUAAUACUGACACCUUAAAAUAAAGUGUAACCGUAUUUUCUUAUACAGAUACACACUUUAUGCAGUGUAGGUACCUUGAAUACAGCUGCGCCAGUACUGGCAUUGGCACCCAGGCCGAUUGUUGUGCCUGUACCCUGAGAGUAUCUGCACUUUCAAUACACCAGGUUUGUUCAGAGUUCCAAAGGAUCACUUGUGUGGACCUCAAAACAACAUUUCACAUGACCUCUUUUUUUUUUUUUGGCUUAUAUAAAUUUGCUUUUAAAAAACAAGCAAAUGUAUUUCACAAAAAUGGUUAACACACAAGUCCCACUUUACUUAACAUGACACAGAAUGUAAGAAUAUGACUAAAAAGUAAGAAUAUGACUAAUACAGAUGAAUAAAUAGUAUAUAAGGCUAUUAAAUAGCAGUCACAUGAUAGUUAAUACAAUAAAGUUAGUAAGGCAUAAGCCACCACAGUCAUUUAAAAAUAUACAAAAGAACACAAAAUGUAAAUAAAGUGGCAUUUUGGGGUUAUGGAAACAGUUGCCAUGGUAAAUACACAAUGCUAACAUGAACUGUUAAAACAUCUGGAAACUGCUCCUGAUGAAUAGAUGGAACAUCAUACCAGCAUGCAAAUCCUUCCCAGCUAACACACAACAUACCAGACAAUGUUAUUGUUUAAGUUAAGGUAUAAGUUUAUGUAACAAUAUUUCUUGAUACUAAUUUUCAAUAGCAUUUUUUUGUUUACUCAACUUCAGACAUUGAGUUCGACAGACAAAAAAAUGUUGAAUUGGCUCAACUUAAAAAGAUUUGUUAUAGAAUAACAGUUUCCCCAGAAAACUAACAAUGUUAACUCAACUAAACAUUUUUUGUAUCACAGACAACUUAUUUUCAGUUAGUAUAACUGUUAACUUAUUUGCAAAAGUUGAGUAAACAAGAAAAAGCUAAGGGAAAUUAGUUCUAAGAUUUUUUGUUGUUGUUGUUGUACGGGCUUAACAAUGUUUUACAGUGUGCAUAAUUAACUUUCUCCAGGGAGAAAGGCAAUAAUUUAGAGAAAAAUGGUGGUGGUGACUGUGGGAACAUCAGUUACUUCAACUGAAGGACAUCAAUUCAGUGGAAAAAAGGCCAUCAAGACAGUAUUAUCCAUGUGGAAAAGCUUUUCAUCUAGAGAAGCAAUUGCCUGUACAAAAUCCACGGAUUGUGUUCCUGCAAAACAAAACAACAGAAAAAAAACACAACACAAAAUGUUUUUAAGAUCACGAGAAACAAGUAAGUUUCUAACAAAUACGUUUUUUAAACUUUUGAUUCUAUUGUACAUAGUGUUGUUGGGUCAAAACAAAGCAACACAUAUUAAAAAACAAACAAACAAACAAAACAACAACAACACAAACAAGACAUUUUUUAAGAACAUGAGAAACACAUAGUUUUCGAAUAACUUUUGCCGAAACUUUUGACUUUGUUGUACAUAGUUGGCUGUCGGGUCACCUGGGGUUCUUCUACAAAAACAAAACAAAAACUAACAAACAAACAAAAAACACAAAAACAAAACAAAAACUAAACGAAAAACAAAAGAACACAACAACAACAACAACAAAAAACUAAGCGAAAAGUUUUUAAGAUCAUGGUAAACAAUUGUUUCUAACAAAUAAGUUUGCCUAAACUUUUGACUCUGUUGUGCAGUGUAUUGUCGGGCCACCUGUGGGUCUUCUACAAAAACAAAACAAAAACAAAAAAAAAUGGGGUUCAAGCAUUUUAAGGCCUUUAAGUACAUGCGUAAAUAGAUUUUUUGUUUUAUUUAGCAAGCCUAUAACCAUCUCAAUCAUACAUGGAAAAGACUAUUUACAGCAAUACAGGGAAUUUACCAUAGGAAAUAUAUGGUUUUUAAAGCUUUUUAUCAGUUAUCAAGGUUGAGCCAAAAACAUACUAUAGGUCUAGUUCACCAAAGUUGGUUUUUGAAAUAAUGCUCAAAAUUCAUUGGCCGAUGGCGGACAUGUUUUUCGAGAUACCUUAAUGUCCUCAUAAACAAUCAUGGCACCUUGGACAAAGACACUGCAUGCCAAUUUUCAAGUCGAUCGGACUAAUGGUGAAGUAAUUAUAGCCAUUUUUGUGUUUUUUUUGUUUUUGUCUGUUUUCACGCGACCACAGAAUGAACUCUUACAUAGGUGUCCUGAGUUUGGUGAAAAUAUCUCAUUCCGUUCACAAGUUAUAGCCAUUUUCGUAAAAGUUGCUCCGGCCACUUCAAACGUUUUGGCGGCCCUUAGGGGAGAAUGCUGAUCCUUAGAAAAUUUAACAAUGACAAUAGGGUUUCAGCGCUACGCACUUGAAACCCUAACGACAAAAGACAACAACUAAACAAAAACAAAUCACAACAAAACAAAAUGUUUUUAAGAUCACGAUAAACAAUUAUGUAACAAAUAUCAAAUACGUUGGCCUAAGCGUUUUUUGCUAAUUGUAAAGGGGUCUUCAACAGCACAAAUCAAAUUAUGAAAUGCCGAGUGACCAUUCAUUUGCAUCAGGCAGCAGUGAAGCAUCAGUGAAGCAGCUGUGGACAGAGCCUGGACUCUGUGCUGGGAAAAUGAGAGGCGUGGGUCAGCGUGGGCCAGCUGGACACAGACACACACCCACAGGAACUGAAUGUCCUGCUAAACUAAUCAGCAACCCUCACACACUGUAAAGUACAACACAUCCUCCAAACACAAGGCGUCACACCCAUAUGAGAUAAUCCAGUGACGAAAGAACACAAGAAUGGAGAGAAGGAAUCACUGAAUAAGAUGUCGAAAUAUAAUAUCUAGUCAAACAUACUUUAAAGGGACAGUUCACCAAAAAAUACAAAUCAGUCAUCAUUUCCUCACACUCAUGUCAUUCCAAACAUGUAUGACCUUCUUUCUUCCAUGGACACAAAUGAGAAAUUCUGGAGAAGCAUUUUCAUUCAACAAUCUUUCGGGAUUUCAAUCUAAAGUAAAUAUUGACAGAAUGUUAAUUUUUGUGUAAACUACUCAAAAAUUGAAAGAGUAAAUAAUGAAUAAACAUAAGGCUGAUCAAAUGUUGCUAAGAAGAUUUAGAGUCCAAGUUAGACUCAGUCCAAGACAUCUGCACAUGUUUGCAUCCCAUGUGACACCAGCGCUUGUGGAAGUUGCAGUGUUUUGGCAGAGUAAAGCAGCAGUUGAGGGCUGGAAUCUGCUUCCCCUCUCCAGCCUCUGCAGCGCUGAUCUGAGAAACAAAAGAGAAGAAGAUCCGGUGUCCGAUCUUAUCCAUCAUGCCCCAUUGCCACACACUGAACCCUUGGCACCUUGUUGGUCUUGAUGGAUGAGGUCGGUCGGACCCUGAAUAUUCAUAUUCUCCUCUUUCACCCCCCACAGGGUCGAACAGGACAGAUUAAGUCUUAAGACAGAGUGGAGUUGCAUUCCUGCAUGAACCGGAUGACACAGUUUAAAAUACUCACAUUAUCACAUGAACUAAUGACUCAUUACUUUCAAUGAAAUUAGAAAAUACUUGAGCAAUAAGGUGUUUUAUGAUUGCUGCACUGAUUGAUCAGAAUAUGAAGCAAAGCAAAGAAAUGUCAAUGGCAGUCUAGUGCUGACAGGAAAUAUUUACUAAGGAUAAAAUGUAUUUCAGAGGGUUUGUUCAUAACAGACAGCUUAGAUGGAUACAAAAAGGCAGAAUAUUUUUACGUUCCUCAAUCCUGCUGGCAGUUUCUGAUGGAUUAAUUGGGUAGUAAUGACAGCUCCAUGUUAAAGCCCACACAGACACACACACAGACACACACACACACACACACACACACACACACACACACACACACACACACACACACACACCAGCAGGCUGUCGUAAUCCUGACCCAACAGCCAUGACAGAUAUAGUCAGCGCUGACACAUCUCCUCUAUCCCCAGACACCUGGUCUCCUAUACUUUCUCAUGGAAAACCCCCCUUCAUGACCCUUUCCCAAGAAUCCCUUAUUGUCUGAUAAUGGAAAAUUAGACAACAGCUGACAGACUGUUAAAUAAAUAAAGGCCUCUAUACGAAUAAAAGAACAGUUCAUCCCAAAAUUCCCAAAGAUCUGUCAUCAUGUUGUUGCAAGUCUGGAUGCUGUUGUGAGAUUCUUUAAGCUGCUCUUUUCCAUAAAACAAAAGUUCAUAGCGACCAUGGCACCAUAAAAUAGUCUAUAACUCUUCUGAAGUCAUAGGACAGCUUUUUUUUGUGAGGAAAACACUGAAAUAGUCAAUCAUAUUUUGUUCAUGUUCAGAUUUUAGAAUGGUGUGGCACAAUUUGAAGUUAUUAAUGUCAAAUACCCACUGGUUUUGUGCUGUAACCAAAUGCAGGUCUGAGUUUGGGAAAAGUCUGAAACGAGAUUGAGAUUUUCAGUGAAUAAAAUUUUAAAUUUGGCCUGUUCAUCAAGAUAAAAUACAAAAAUCAAUCAUUGAGUGCUUUAUGAGGUUUCUUGAUUCUUCAAAAAUCCUCCUUUUCCGUUCCAUACACAAACAACAGCAUACAGGUUUGGAACGACACAAAGUUGAAUAAAUAAUGACAGAAUUAUCAUGUUUGAGGCAACUUUCACUCAAAUGAGCACACAGAACGCAGGCCCUAACCACACUGAGCAUUCAUAAAGGAAAUAUGUAACUAAUAUGCAGAACUAACCUGCAGUGCCAUAGGCCUAAAUAUAACAACAUAGAGCAAAGGAUUAUAGGUAACUCAGGGUACGUUUACACGACAAUGAUGUACUAAAAGCGGAAAAGUUUUACCUUUGUAUUUUUCGCAUACAGACGACAACGUUGUCAAAACGAUCCCCGUUCACGCGGAUCCGUGAAAACGACCAAAAAUGCUGUAUUAUGCUGCCAGGCCAGUAGUUGGCGAUGUCAAUUUAUAAAGAAAUACUACGCACCUAUAGACUGAACACGUAAUAUGCAUGAUGUUACCUCGUUUUCACAAAUUCGCAUUUUUGUGGUUUACAUGCAGACGAUAACGGUAUCAUUAACGGUAUCGCACAUUUUGAAACCCGUUUUCAAAAGUUUGUGUUUUCAGGCUGCCAAAAUGCCGUUGUCGUGUAAAUGAAUGGCAAAAAAAAAAAUGGUGUAGUGUAAACAGUCUCUCAGUGACACACCCAAAACUGAAGGUCAUCUUCACAGAAAUAUCCACAGCAAAGCAAAAAAAAAUUCAGGUGGGAUCUGUUUGCAAUUAUGCAGAAAUUACACCUUGAAGCACAACAAAAAUCAACACAAGAUCAUUGGAAAAACAUACCUCUACCUUCAUUUUUGCAAAACUUCAAAAACAUACCUACUUUACACACAAUUCCCUGGAUUUUCCCGCUGAAAUUAUCGUUUAAUAAUUUUACGUGGUUCCUUUCCCAAUGCUAUGUUAUGACCUCAAAACACUUUUACCAUAGUGCAUGAUUUGUAAAUUGAUACAUUUUGAUGUUUACAUCACAUAACCAGCUUCACAUGUGGCUUUUCUGAUGUAGUAAACUUGCUCGGUAGCUCACCUGAUACAGCAUUGCACUUGCGAUGAUAUAAACGUGAUUUUUAUAUCACGUUUGCUUUUGUUAACACUAUCAGGUUUAAUGUAGCUGCUUAAUUUCAAAUGCAAUAGAGCAUUAACCUUUUAGUGACACUCACCGAACAUUUCAUUUCUGAACUACCACGAUAAAUACAACAACCAUAAUAAAGUGUUGCCAGAUUCAUCUGUUUUGGAUAAAUCUGAAUGUGCAUUUCGCUUUGAAAGUCAAGCCACCUUUAUUUAUUUAGUUCUUUAUACAAUACAGAUUGUUUCAAAGCAGCUUUACGGUGAUCAACAGGAAAAUAAUGAUUCAAUGAAGCCAGCAGAAUUCAGAGGUCAGUUCAGUGUUGCUUCAGUUCCAUUCAAAAACUGUGUAAAGAUCAUCAAUUAUGAAAUGAGUUUGAUUCAUCUAAAGCAGCUCUGCAGAAAAUAGUGGUCAUCAUCCAACUCUCAUCUCACUGUCAGAGCCCUAAAAAAAGCGUGAAUUGUGCAAAAAGCAACGUAAUAUGCUGCCGAAAUGUCGCCAAAGGCAUGUUUUUCCAAUGAGCCUGGGUUGACUCCCUUUUAAGUCGCUGAAAGCAUAAUCAAAUUCUCGGAACUUUCUGCGGCUGCAGAUUUCAUGUGCUAAUUAGCUGCUUCCUUUUUCUAUCCCUAUGUCCAGUAUCAGCAGCAUCAGGAAGCUUGUCAGCACAGACACAUGUGAGCCAGGCUAGCCUCAUCAAAUACCGGCGAACAAAGGGAACAACACACUCACACACGUCCGUUUGUGUAAGAAGUUUAUUAGCAUACUCCCAUUUAGUGUGCAAGUGCAUCACAGAGUAACUGUAAAUAGAAGACGGUGUUCAUGCAGAGGUCACAUAGCUCCAGUCAUGAGCGUGUGAUGAGUUCGAUCAUUGCACAACUACUGUAUGAAACUGUGUCAACACAAAUCUAGCACAAAUCAGUCCACACCUUCUCCUCCCCCAGUUAAUACUACAUGAAAAACAGUGCCUGGAGGAAAAAAAAUAUAGUAUGUACAACAUUCAUGAAGCAAAUCCAUUGUGCUUCAAAAUAACUGUGUUCUGCAGGGAAAAUGAAAGAACGAGAACCAGAGAGUGACAUCACAAAUGCUGUUAACACAGAUUAAAAGGUGGUUAUUUGAGGUGCAGGUGGGUGUUUUGACAUCUGCUUGAGGAGUCUGAGGAACAUGGAAGACUUUAGGACUUUAUGUUAUUGCCUGAACAAAAGCACUACACGGAUAGCUCCAUAUCCCAGGAAAAAAAAACAUUUACCGACAGCUUUCAGCAUACUUCUGAGAAGUCUAGACGCUUUAUCUUAUCAUUGUUUUACGCAGUAGGUCAAAUGACACAAGCGGGUCAGCUGGAGGUGAAUUUAUAACGUUUAGCCGAUCUUUCAUUACACCAGCAGAACACUGCAGUCAAUGGAUGGACUUAAACACAUAAUGGAAAUCAUUAAAAACGGAUGUUCCUAUCAGUUUAAGCACUGAUUUGAUUGUGAGGAUUCAGGAUGGGGAUAAGCAUCAACUGUUUUGAACAUAAUAAUAAUAAUAAUAAUAAUAAUAAUAGCAAUAAUAGUGCAUGAGCAUCAAAGUAGCAUAUUAGAAUGAUUUCUGAAAGAUCAUAAUAUAUGUUAAAUUCAGCUUUGCCAUCACAGGAAUAUAUUACAUUUUAAAAUAUGUUAAAAUAGAAAACAGUUAUUUUAAAUUGUAAUAAUAUUCCACAAUAUUUCCACAAUAUGUCUUUACUGUAUUUUUAAUCAAAUAAAUGCAGCUUUUGUGAGCAAAAGAGACUUUUU